RNAcentral lists this long non-coding RNA (3878 nucleotides) under Gouania willdenowi (blunt-snouted clingfish). RNAcentral's name for it is "lncRNA (ENSGWIG00000022480.1)". Lineage: Eukaryota; Metazoa; Chordata; Actinopteri; Blenniiformes; Gobiesocidae. The record is from RNAcentral.
GGUCAGAGUGGAAGGAAAGCGUGUGUGUGUGUGUGUGUGUGUGUGUGUGUGUGCGUGUGUGCGUGUGUGCGUGUGUGUGUGUGUGUGUGUGUGUGUGUGUGUGUGUGUGUGCGAGAAACAAAGGAAGGAAGCAACUAUAGCUGCAGAGAGACACCCGUGUGUCAGAGCAAAGAUAUCUCACCUCACUGGUCUGUCUUGUUGGUCUGCUUCAGUGCGUAGGUUCUGAGGAACACUGUGCGCACUCUCUCCUCCCAUCAGCCGUGCUAUAAACCACUGCUUUGAGGAGGAGGGGUGACAAAAACAGAGAAACUCAGCACUCAGCAGAAGUAAGCCACUUUUCCUAUGAUGUAGUAGACAAAAAUAUUGAAACAAGGAGUUAUUUUAGCAUCCAAAGAGAAGGAGAGUCAAUGAGUGAAGAGCAGAAGAAACAAUGACAAGGUGAGGAGAAGAAGAUCUUCUAUCACAUGAAGUGAAACUUUGAAAGAUGGACCAAAACCAUGUGUGUGAGAUGACUGGCACAGAUCGGAGGAUUUGAGAAGCGAAACGACAGCCGCAACAGAAGUUGGACUCAACACUGACAUGGUUUACGCGCAGCUGACGUUUUCUGACAUGUUUGGAAAGCAAGGCAUCACAUCCCUGCAUCACAUCCAUCCCCUCAUUACCUGGAUCUGCUGCUGCUGCUGCUGUGUUCACACAUGUUGCGUUGACAUCAGGGUUUAACGUUCACUGCCUCCAUGUCUCAGUCACAGAACCCAACCGACACACAGGCCUUGCUGCAGUCGAUGCUGCAGAAACUGAAGCUGCAGCAGGGACGAGAGAACCAACCUGUGUUCAACCCCUACGCAUCAUCAUCAGAGGAGCAACAGCACGAGGAGAGAAGAGCUUCCCCCCCUCUCAACAAGAAACACCUUAGUGAGGAACGGGAGACAUCAUGGCCUGGAAUCACCCCAACAGGAGUCAAACAACUGUUUCCUGCUCAAACCCACAAGGAUGCUGACAUCACUUCCUGUGAAACAACUGAUGCAAAGAGGACGAUUUCAAGCAGUGACGCACUUCCAAACAACCAGUAUUCCAUCUCAAACAAAGGGCCGAGCCUUGACCAGGACCAGCAGUUUACACCCAGAGUGUACAUGUGGUCGCAGAAGAGCUCAGACUCCCACAAAGAGGAGCAGGGGGGCAAAGUGUUGCAAUUUGAUGCAGUUGAUGCACCAAAAUCAUCAAACAACGACAGCAACUUUAGAAAGGAAAAAUCCUCAGAGAGGAAACCAAGAAGGUGGACGUCAAAGAUUAAGGAGAGAUGGAGAUACAGGCAAGGCAGCUUUGGCAAAAAGGGAAAAGAAGAGAGCGACCCAGCCGAGCAGAAGAAUGUACAGAUUACCGAUGUUUCUUUAGAAAAUCCAUUCAACACGCUGCAUGAGGAUGGAGAAGAAACCCUCACUCCCACAGAAAUACCUCCAGCACAGGAAGAAGACUCCACUGUGAACAUCCCUACCAGAUCCACCAGUGACUUUGAAUUUGGCCUCGGCUCAUUCAGCCUGCUUGAGGAGAUCACCAUGGGCCAAAAGUGGGCCGAGUUUAUCAACCCCAACCUGAGGACCACUACCACACAAUCGGAAGAAAGUCAGAGUCGAACCAACACACCCGACAGCACGUGGAGCUUCAGCGGUGCAGAGUCAUCAUCACAAGCUACGGCACAACAAUCACCUGAUGCUUCCUUACCUGUUAGCAUGGAUGUCAGUGAAGGAAAAUGGUUACAACUCAGUUAUCAGAGACAGGCGGAUCAAUCAGAGCCAAUGGACGAUGGUGUGAACCAAUCAUCUCUGAGGCCUGCAGAGAACGGCCUGGACCAACAAUCAAGAUCCUUAACUUCUGUUAAAGCUACAUCUAUGGAUCGUUUGUAUGGCUCAGUGCAGAGAAGUCGCCUCCUGCUAAACAGAAAGAGGCAUCAUCAGUCCCAAACUCAGCAGAUGAGUGAUGGAGAGGAGACAGAUGAGUCUGUGACCAGCAGGCAAGCGAUGGAUGAAUCAGAGCCACAGCAGACUAACUCCCAUCCUGCACCAGAGUCUGCAUCCUCCUCCUCCUCCUACAGUCCUUCAGCAGCUCCAGCUCCUGCCCUCAGAGGUGUCCUCAAACACUCGGAUCGAGGAAGUCAGUCAAAAAGGAGGCGACUGGAGGUGAAUCGUCAUGUUCAUUUUUCUAUGGAGGUGGUGACCAUAGAGUCUCCUGUCCUGGACUACAGUGACUCUGAGGAAGAGGAGGAGGAGGAAGAGGAGGGAGAGGAGGAUGUGGUGACUGAGGAAGCUGAGGUGGAGCAAGGUCCAAUAGAGGACGCAGCCCCUGCCCGUCGACAUGCUCUUCCUCACUGGAUACUGGCUCUGAAGAGGAAGAACACAGGAAAGAAACAUGGAUAGAGACUGUGACCCUGGAAGCUUUGUUUGGCUUCACUGACUUUUUAAAAAAACUUCAUAUCUGUUUGGAUCAUUUUUUUAUAUAAAACCAUUUUGUAGGUUUUAAAACAUCAUAUGGAGCCGUAGUAUGUUUGAAAAAGGAUGAAAAGUCAGACUAGAGACUAUCAGUCUAACAAGGAUUAUCUUUGUGGCUUCACAGUUAGCAUCAUUUUAAAGCUGAAGUCCUAUUUUUCCACUUAGUUUCCCUGUCUUUUUCUCUUUUGAAUGUUUUACCUUUUUUAUUUUAUUUUUUUCAAAAAAAAAAAAAGAAAAAAAAAAGCCUAAGACCCAAACCUUUGUUUUCUGAAAACACAUAGUUCUUCUGCAACCUCAGACACUACAACCUUCACUAGCAGUUGUUUUAAAGCAAGAAAAGUAAAGCUGCUGAGGACGAUAACUAAACUUUUUUUUAAAAAAUUCUAUCUGUAUAUAUCAUGGGAAACGCCAUAAACAAACCAGAACAAAAGUGGCGUCUAGAGAAUCUCUGUCCUCCUUGUCUGGCAAGGAAACACGAGGAAAAAAACUUAUUGAAGAAACUUUUCCACUUCAGCACCAUAUUUGCAUUUUUGAACAGGAUUCCCAAUCCCUUAAUGCAAUGUGUGAAACCUUCCUAAAGUUGAAGUCACAAGUCAAAAACCGACCAAUUGUGAUGGAGUCAAAAACAAUCUAGUGAGCAGCAAUUUCAACCUUCAAAAGAAAUAUCUUUGAUUUAUUGAUGUAUUAUUAUUGAGGCCUACACUUUGGCUGUGUUCAAAAUUGCAUAACGCGCAAGUCUGACAUCAUAAUUAGUUUACAAUGCAUUCACAUUGGAUAGCAUGGACAGAUUAAGUAAAUGAGAAAUACCCAGAUGUAGUUUUUUAACGCUUUUGUAAAAAGGGCUCUUGUUCUGAAGUUAACCAGAGGUUUUAUCUGUAGCAUAAUGGCAGGUCUCCGAAAAUCUCCAAAAUGUCGGCCAUAAAUGUGAUUUAUGUAUUUAUCAAAUGACCACAUUUUGAUAUUCUACUUUCAAUUUCUCACUUUCAAAAGUAGAGAAUCAAGAGAUAUUUAGACUCAGUGUGUUUCAGGUUUCUGUCGUUGUAGGUUAGUAUACUUAGUGUAAAGUAUACUUAGUGGCAACAGUCACCAGUGACAUGCCGUGAGCACUAGCGUUGGGCGUUGCAAAUCGAGACCACUAAUGUCAAUACCAAUGACAAUUCCAUAUGUUUUUGCUGGCAAGUGUUAAUUCAAUUCAACUUAAUUUGUAUAAAGCAAUUUACAACAAUGCGCUAUACAAUCUCAAUGCGCUUAUCAAAGUAUAAAAUUCAUAACAAGAAAGAAAAAACCCAACAAGAUCCACAUGAACAAGCAUUUUGUCAUCUAACAAAAUCAAUAUAGUAAAACAACAUUAAAGAAACAUAAACAAUUAUUUAAUAAAGCCUCCAUACUCUCCCA